This 72-nucleotide transfer RNA is filed under the name Bos taurus (domestic cattle). It matches the Rfam family "tRNA". From Rfam's summary of the family: Transfer RNA (tRNA) molecules are approximately 80 nucleotides in length. Their secondary structure includes four short double-helical elements and three loops (D, anti-codon, and T loops). RNAcentral also lists the same sequence under 2 other names. The record is from Rfam by way of RNAcentral. Lineage: Eukaryota; Metazoa; Chordata; Mammalia; Artiodactyla; Bovidae.
UCCCUGGUGGCUCAGAUGGCAAAGAAUCUGCCUGCAAUUCAGGAAACCCAGGUUCAAUCCCUGGGUGGGGAA